This 63-nucleotide transfer RNA is filed under the name Nilaparvata bakeri. Its description in RNAcentral is "tRNA-Tyr". The record is from RNAcentral. Lineage: Eukaryota; Metazoa; Arthropoda; Insecta; Hemiptera; Delphacidae.
AAUAGGGUGUCUGAUUUAAGUAAUAAAUUGUAAAUUUAUUCAAGGGUUAACUUCCUCCUAUUA